CAAUAAAUGUAACAAACACAUAAAUGCAGAAAACAGACCAAAUAUUAAUAUAAUAAUAUAAUAAAUAAAGUAAAAGGUAAACUGAAAGUCCAAAAACAUUUACCCUUUCUAGAAAAAUACUUUGAUAUUUCCGUCAGGGUGGUUGACAUUCAUUGCUCUAUCAUAUAUUAUCAUGUCAGACAAAAAGAUAAGGGACAUAUCUCUUAAAAUCAAUAUUACGUUUGUUACAACCAUUUUAAUGAAUAUAAUGCAAGCUUCUAAAUAACACAGCUCAUUGUUGCUCUUAUAUAAAAGUUAAAUACACAAAUACUUUUUUUUUAAGAUAAAGAAUAAUCUAACUAUCCAUUUUGUGUAAGACAAAUGUAUAUAAAAGAAAAUGACUUAAAUGCCACAGUUAUCUUAUUUUAUAAAUUCUAUUAACCUGAAUAUAUACCAGUAAUGGUCAUGCCCUUUUGAUAUAUCUCAAAUUAGGCUAUAGCUUGGAAUCUUGUUACAUGCACAAUAUGUCCUUCUUUGCUUCGUUUAUAAAGAAUGUAUAUAGGUCAUACAAAAAUACAGCAAAAACUACUUGUCUUUAAAAAAAAAAAAGAAAAAAAAGGCCCAUGCACUUUAUUUUUCAUUUUGUUGAUUAUUGUACUGUAUUUUCAGAACCCAAAAUUAACUAUUAUCUUCAAGAAGGAGAUCAUUAAUAAAAAUGAUAAAUUGUUAAUUCUAAUAUAUAUUUUUGUUGAAAUAUAAAAAUCGAAUUCAUAUUCUUUCUUCCAAAUAUUAGCCUUCUUGUCUCAUACAUCUUAAGUUACAAUACCAACCUCUUUUUUAUUGAAGAUAAAAAGAUAGAGAAGACCAUGUACAAGGUUUGAAGACAGAAAAGUCAAGUAAACAGGAAGAUGAUACCUUAUAUCAGGAAAAUUUUUACAUGUGUCUGAUUUUCAUGGAGGAUAUUCAAUCUCAAAAUUAACCCUUCACACACAUUUCACUUACAAGUGGAAUGCAUUGUACAAGGCAAAAAAUGAACCCCACAAUAAUUCAAUGCCCUGCCCUUUCUGAGGCACAAACCACAAACAAAACCUGAAGAAAAUAUUCCCCUGAUAAAGAGUAUAUGGAAUUAGAAUGUUAUUUGAAUUGGUAUUGUUAAGAACGAAUUAGGUAACUUAGUUUUAACCCAUGAGCCUUAAAACUAAACUAUGGGCCUUGGUGGAAAAGUGGUCUAAGUAGUUAAUCAACAGUGAUCAUUAGCCUGUCAACCCUAAGGUUGUGUAGGAGCCUUGGUGGUCAAGUGGUCUAAGUAGUUAAUCAACAGUGAUCAUUAGCCUGUCAACCCUAAGGUUGUGUAGGAGCCUUGGUGGGCAAGUGGUCUAAGUAGUUAAUCAACAGUGAUCAUUAGCCUGUCAACCCUAAGGUUGUGUAGGAGCCUUGGUGGGCAAGUGGUCUAAGUAGUUAAUCAACAGUGAUCAUUAGCCUGUCAACCCUAAGGUUGUGUAGGAGCCUUGGUGGGCAAGUGGUCUAAGUAGUUAAUCAACAGUGAUCAUUAGCCAGUCAACCCUAAGGUUGUGUAGGAGCCUCGGUGGGCAAGUGGUCUAAGUAGUUAAUCAACAGUGAUCAUUAGCCUGUCAACCCUAAGGUUGUGUAGGAGCCUUGGUGGUCAAGUGGUCUAAGUAGUUAAUCAACAGUGGUCAGUAGCCUGUCAACCCUGAGGUUGUGUAGGAGCCUCGGUGGGCAAGUGGUCUAAGUAGUUAAUCAACAGUGAUCAUUAGCCAGUCAACCCUAAGGUUGUGUAGGAGCCUCGGUGGGCAAGUGGUCUAAGUAGUUAAUCAACAGUGAUCAUUGUCAACCCUAUGGUUGUGAGUUUGUUGUGGCAGGUGCAUUCCACUCCUAUCUUAACUGACAAGGCCAGUUUUCCUGUCGAAGGUUCUAUCCUUGUACUCUGGCGUCCUCCACCUAUAAACUUUUUAUAGUGGCCACAUGAUAUAACCAAGAAUGCUGAAAGUGGCAUUAAACACAAACUAUUAAUCAAUUAAUAAACUGUACUACGACAAGAUCACUUGAGAGGUGAGAUUUAAAGCUCCAUUGGCCAUGAUCAUGCAUAUAUAAACAAAGAAUUUCGAAUGGUCUGAUAUUACUACAAGGGUCACCACAGCUUGACUCUGGUGUUAAUAAGGGUUUGGAAGUGAUAUGCAAGACUGAAUGUAAAACUGAACAAGUCAACUGUAUGAAGUCUUACACUUCAAGUAAACUUCCAUCUGAAUAAUCCUGUGGCAAGACCAGUUUUAACUGUUGUUAGGGGUCAUUUUGAACUUUCAUAAUAUUUUCUCGCUCCAGUGAUUUUGUGUCAUGAAUUGAUACACCCAAUCAUUUUUAUUCCAUUUCACUGAGAUUGAUUGAUUGUUUGGUGUUUAACCUCAAGCUUGGUUUAUUCAUGGAUGCCAGUUAUUAUUGGUAGAGAAAGCCAGA
Mytilus californianus (California mussel) is the source of this 2451-nucleotide long non-coding RNA. RefSeq lists it as uncharacterized. The transcript is spliced from 3 exons. The record is from RefSeq and is a predicted model, not a curated record. NCBI's taxonomy places the organism in Eukaryota, Metazoa, Mollusca, Bivalvia, Mytilida, Mytilidae.